AUAAUGGGUCAGCGACUUAUAUUCUGUAGCAAGGUUAACCGAAUAGGGGAGCCGAAGGGAAACCGAGUCUUAACUGGGCGUUAAGUUGCAGGGUAUAGACCCGAAACCCGGUGAUCUAGCCAUGGGCAGGUUGAAGGUUGGGUAACACUAACUGGAGGACCGAACCGACUAAUGUUGAAAAAUUAGCGGAUGACUUGUGGCUGGGGGUGAAAGGCCAAUCAAACCGGGAGAUAGCUGGUUCUCCCCGAAAGCUAUUUAGGUAGCGCCUCGUGAAUUCAUCUCCGGGGGUAGAGCACUGUUUCGGCAAGGGGGUCAUCCCGACUUACCAACCCGAUGCAAACUGCGAAUACCGGAGAAUGUUAUCACGGGAGACACACGGCGGGUGCUAACGUCCGUCGUGAAGAGGGAAACAACCCAGACCGCCAGCUAAGGUCCCAAAGUCAUGGUUAAGUGGGAAACGAUGUGGGAAGGCCCAGACAGCCAGGAUGUUGGCUUAGAAGCAGCCAUCAUUUAAAGAAAGCGUAAUAGCUCACUGGUCGAGUCGGCCUGCGCGGAAGAUGUAACGGGGCUAAACCAUGCACCGAAGCUGCGGCAGCGACGCUUAUGCGUUGUUGGGUAGGGGAGCGUUCUGUAAGCCUGUGAAGGUGUACUGUGAGGUAUGCUGGAGGUAUCAGAAGUGCGAAUGCUGACAUAAGUAACGAUAAAGCGGGUGAAAAGCCCGCUCGCCGGAAGACCAAGGGUUCCUGUCCAACGUUAAUCGGGGCAGGGUGAGUCGACCCCUAAGGCGAGGCCGAAAGGCGUAGUCGAUGGGAAACAGGUUAAUAUUCCUGUACUUGGUGUUACUGCGAAGGGGGGACGGAGAAGGCUAUGUUGGCCGGGCGACGGUUGUCCCGGUUUAAGCGUGUAGGCUGGUUUUCCAGGCAAAUCCGGAAAAUCAAGGCUGAGGCGUGAUGACGAGGCACUACGGUGCUGAAGCAACAAAUGCCCUGCUUCCAGGAAAAGCCUCUAAGCAUCAGGUAACAUCAAAUCGUACCCCAAACCGACACAGG
This 1049-nucleotide ribosomal RNA is filed under the name Escherichia coli. RNAcentral describes it as "partial 23S ribosomal RNA". It matches the Rfam family "Bacterial large subunit ribosomal RNA", at positions 612 to 1663 of the family's 2925-position model. Lineage: Bacteria; Pseudomonadati; Pseudomonadota; Gammaproteobacteria; Enterobacterales; Enterobacteriaceae. The record is from RNAcentral.